Clarias gariepinus (North African catfish) is the source of this 1980-nucleotide long non-coding RNA. RefSeq lists it as uncharacterized. The transcript is spliced from 3 exons. The record is from RefSeq and is a predicted model, not a curated record. NCBI's taxonomy places the organism in Eukaryota, Metazoa, Chordata, Actinopteri, Siluriformes, Clariidae.
CUUAGAUGCUGUUCUUGGGCUUUGUUCCUGAUUUGGGUACACAGGUCCUUGUGCUCAUAUCUUAUUUCCCUUUGAUCCUUUUUGCUUAGUUAUUCUCGUCUAUCAUAUAUUGCUUUAUUAUAACAGCUUGCAUUUUAUAAACGAUAAAAGGACUACCUCCCACUGUGAGGCUGGAGCCCCAAAGUGCUGUAGCGCCGUGAGUGCUUUCUGGGCGGAUUGGGAGAGACGACCUCGGGGGCUGCAUCCUCAAGGACUGACUCUAAGGUGGAGUUCAGUUCUCCUCGCACACUGCUCACACACUCCCUACACACUCCUCAUACACUCCUUACACACACCUCACACACUCCUUACACACACCUCACACCCUCCUCCCGUAUGUGUAUCAGGAUGAAGCUCCUCGCUCUGGUGCUCCUGCUCUCUGCUUUUCCCUCACUCACUCUAACGGAGGUUGUGGGAUCUUUUCCACAAACCUGUCCUUUAUUCUUCAUGCUAAACCCAAAAGAUCAUAAUGUCCGCAUCGUCCCCACUAUCUUCACAGGACAUCAGUAUAAGAAAAUUUGUCAGCGCUGGAAAAACAAUUACAGAUUUGCCACCGUGUAUGACACCGAGAGGAGGAUCCCUGUUUACUCGGCCUACAGGUUUACACAGCGAGUGAAUACUGUACGCAAUGAGGACUGGAAAAUUGAGCCUCAGCUUGAAAAACAGAUCAAAGGAUAUGAAGAUAUAAAAGAGAUGAUGGAUUCCCCGAGAGAAGCAGGGAAGAUAACUCACCAGGCUGUGAACUCAGAUUAUAUAAACAGGGUGAUUAAUAAAAUUGUCUAUACUCGAGGUCACGUGUUUCCACGUGAAUAUGCUGGUGAUCAGGAUCAAGCAGAUUCUACAUUCACUUUAACCAACAUAGCACCCCAGUCAGAGGCCAGCAAUGGGGAGUGGGAAAGGCAAGUGGAGACACCGAUGAUUAAUAACAUCACUGACAGGUGCAAAAAUCAACCAGCGUACAUUGUGACCGGGGUCGUUCCAGGAGACAAUUGGUUUAACAUUAAAAGAAACAAUAAAAACAUAAAUUACAGAAUUAACAUUCCCAGUUAUUAUUGGAGCGCUUUCUGUUGUAAAGACAAAAAUAGGAGACUCAUAUCGGGGGCCUGGAUCGCUAAGCAAGGGGGGACUGACCAGGAAUUUGACCUCAGACGUCCCAGCAUAGAUAAUCUGAAUAAACGACUCACUGAAUUAUAUCGUAAGGAUUUCAGUGUGUUUCCAGGGUUAGAUUUUUAAAACUUGUUUUUAUGUGAUUGUUAAUGUUAAGGUUUGAGAGGCUAACCUCUUUAAAUUCUCUAUUAGAUCUCAAAAGGGCAUAAAAUCAGUUUUGCUGAAAUAACGCUGAUUAAAGCUUCUGCAACCAGAAAUAUUAAAAUGCUGUAUUGUGUUAAAGAAUCUCUCAGUGUUUCUCUGAUGUGUGUUUAAUUGAACUAAAUCCAGGUGUGUAUUUACAGCUGCUUUUACACUCGGCCAGCGCACGUGUUACAGACACGUCUACAGGAAGUAGAAACUGUUUAAUUUGUCAUAGUGAAACUUUCUUAAUCUCCUGACCGAUCAGGUAAUGAGAUAUGGGUUAAGUGACAAAACACACAUGGAGGACAAAAUACUGGUCAAAAAAGAGUUGUGUAAUGAGUUAAUAUAAAAAGAUUUAUGAAAAUAUCUCUUUUGAUUUCCUCUAUUUAAAACCAUUUUUUAAUCUGGAUUACUGAGAAAAAGAGUUGUGUAAUGAGCUAACAGAUCUGUAGUGGUGCUCCUGUUGGAAAAGUGUAAAAGCAGCAUGAAAGACACUUCAUUAUCAUUUAAUCAUUUUUUUUCAUCACUUAUGUAUACACUUAUGCUAAAAGCUUUUUAAUAAAUAUCCUUAGGUUUGCUUCUCUUGGUAUAAAAGCUACUUUUAAGCAACAUUACAUUAUGUUCAAAAUACUUUAGAUAUACUCUGUUAGU